CAUAGCGACUAUCGUGGCAUAUCAAUAAGCGGAGGAAAAGAAACUAACUAGGAUACCCUUAGUAACGGCGAGUGAAGCGGGAAGAGCUCAAAUUUGAAAUCUUCAAGGUUCUACCUUGACGAAUUGUAGUUUAAAGAAGUGUUUUCUGUUGGAGUUUUGGUAAAAGUUCUUUGGAAUAGGACAUCAUAGAGGGUGAGAAUCCCGUAUUUGACCAUUUCUUCCAGCUGUGUGAUACACUUUCAAAGAGUCGGAUUGUUUGGGAAUGCAGUCCAAAAUGGGUGGUAAAUUUCAUCUAAAGCUAAAUAUUGGCGAGAGACCGAUAGCGAACAAGUACCGUGAGGGAAAGAUGAAAAGAACUUUGAAAAGAGAGUUAAACAGUACGUGAAAUUGUCAAAAGGGAAGCGUUUGACACCAGUGUUGUUUUCUCGAAAAUCAAUUAAAAAAGGCCGGAUUUUGUGUUGUAUUGACCUUAAAAGCUUUCUUCACUCUUUUCUUGUCUUUUUUAAUGCACUUUUCGUUUAACAAGUCAACAUCAGUUUCUUUUGUUGUAAAAGGGUCAUUGGAAGGUGGCUUUCUUUUCGGAGAAAGUGUUUAUAGCCUUUGAUCUCUGCAACCGGAGAGACUGAGGUCUGCAGCGUAGACUCUUCGGGGUUAAAUACAUUUGUGCUAAGCUAUAGCUUUUUAUAGACAACUUGUUGACUAUAUUUAGUCUUGUGGCUUACUCGCUUAUGCUAUUUUACCUACGCUUAGGAUGUUGAUAGUCACAGCGUGUAC
Molecule: ribosomal RNA, 774 nt
Filed under: uncultured Neocallimastigales
Lineage: Eukaryota; Fungi; Neocallimastigomycota; Neocallimastigomycetes; Neocallimastigales
Description: partial large subunit ribosomal RNA
Rfam family: Eukaryotic large subunit ribosomal RNA
Source: RNAcentral